CCUACCCUCUGAUAGAUUAGGGGGAAAGGCAGCGCACGAAGCGCGUUCAAAAUCUCGCUCCUGCACAACUUUCUGUCUCGUGCGCGCGGUGGGCAAAGGCAGCGCACCCCCCGCCAGAUGACGGGGCGGGGGAAGGCGCAUAUUUCCAAAGGCGGCAGCUGGAGACGGGCCUCGGGGGGACUCCCAAAGCAGCGCCCUGGCGCCGCCCCGCCCCGCCUUACCGUCAGCUCCUUGGGGAGGCAACGCGGCCGCCAAGAGAAAGCCGCUCAGAAGCUGAUUGUAACACAGUGGACACAACAUAGAUCUAGUUCCAUACAAGGAAAAGUCUCUGAUAAAUGGACCAAAGUGCCCAAUGAGGAAAAGGAGAGAAGCAGCCAGCACAGAACUGUCUUCACGCUGCUCUUGUAAGAGUUCAUUCAUCCCAGGGCUUUGUAACACCAUCUCUGAGGAAGAGCAGCAGGAAUACCUACUUUGAGGAGGAGGAAGAUGAAGCAAUCUGCCGCUUGAGCAAUCCAUUUCCAUCACAGUUGGCACAUACCAACAAAACCUUAAGCAUUAAAGACAACUUUUCUUGC
Molecule: long non-coding RNA, 575 nt
Organism: Python bivittatus (Burmese python)
Lineage: Eukaryota; Metazoa; Chordata; Lepidosauria; Squamata; Pythonidae
Source: RefSeq, a predicted model, not a curated record